Molecule: ribosomal RNA, 577 nt
Filed under: uncultured bacterium
Lineage: Bacteria
Description: bacterial SSU rRNA
Rfam family: Bacterial small subunit ribosomal RNA
Source: RNAcentral
CCUACGGGAGGCAGCAGUAAGGAAUAUUGGUCAAUGGACGCAAGUCUGAACCAGCCAUGUCGCGUGCAGGAUGAAGGCCCUCUGGGUUGUAAACUGCUUUUAUAGGGGACGAAAAAGGGACUUUCUAGUUCAACUGACGGUACCCUAGGAAUAAGCACCGGCUAACUCCGUGCCAGCAGCCGCGGUAAUACGGAGGGUGCAAGCGUUAUCCGGAUUUACUGGGUUUAAAGGGUGCGUAGGUGGGUCGGUAAGUCAGCGGUGAAAUCUUCAAGCUUAACUUGGAAACUGCCAUUGAUACUAUCGAUCUUGAAUCAUCUGGAGGUAAGCGGAAUAUGUCAUGUAGCGGUGAAAUGCUUAGAUAUGACAUAGAACACCAAUUGCGAAGGCAGCUUACUACGGAUGUAUUGACACUGAGGCACGAAAGCGUGGGGAUCAAACAGGAUUAGAUACCCUGGUAGUCCACGCCCUAAACGAUGGAUACUCGACAUACGUGAUAUACUAUGUGUGUCUGAGCGAAAGCAUUAAGUAUCCCACCUGGAAGUACGAUCGCAGAUUGAAACUUAAAGGAAAUUGACGG